CCAUUAGGGCUGCAAUGCGAUACAUUUCUAUUCAGAAGUAAGCUCCAUUGGGUUCAGUGGAACUUACUCCCAGUGAACUGAUGGAUCUACAAGACAUUUCAAAAUGCAGAUGCCCGCUGAGAGAGAGAGCCUCAGUUCUACACAUUUAUAUAAUUUGUGGAAGCACAUGAAAAUAUCUGGAAAGGCAUCAACACUCUAGGAAAACACUUGGGGCCAGGUUCCGCUAUCAUUUUCACACAUGUAUUCCAUUGACUUCCAGUUCCAUUACAUACGUAUAAAUUGAGAGCAGAUGCUGCUAAAAAAGGUAUUGCUAUAAUUUUGAUGGUCGUGGUAUUUGGACAAGACAACGAAGAGAUUCUUCAAGCUAUUUCAAACUCUUUCCCUUUGUACAUGAACAUUUGCACUCAGUUUCUGAGGCAGGAGUGGAGUUAUGGAGGAGUCCGCUACUGGCUAAAUACUGUGCUAUUAUAAGACUGAUAUCUAGUUUGUAUGGGUAGGGCAGGUUUGUGCUGAAGCAACGCCAGAUCACAAUAUUGGCUUUGAACAGAAGAAUGUUAUGGGGCAGAACAGUUGACUGAUGUUCCUUCAUUGUCCAUGAAUGUCUUUUUAUGGUGACCCACCUUGCCAGCCCUCUCCGGAAGAUGUAACCUAGAACUCUGUGUGAAAAGAAUAACAGAAGUGUUUUUGGCAUAGACCAAGAUAAAAUUGGAGACGAGAGAGAGAGAGAGAGAGAGAAAGACAGAGAAGGGUCUGUAAACUGAAAGUAUCUCUGAUAUUUGGGUUAGUGAGUUUGUUCCUUUGUAGGAAUGCUAUGCUGCCUGUUUCCAUCUAUGCUCAACUUGUACAUCGGUCAAUAAAUCCAAAUAUUACAUAAGAACGCAAGAAGAACCUCACUGGAUCAGGCAACCGAUUUAGUCCAGCAUUUUGUUCUCACAGUGGCCGACCAGAUGCCUAUGGGAAGCCUGCAAACAGGACCUGAGAGCAACAGCACUCUUCCUACAACUUCCCAGCAACUGUUGGAAGGUAUGGAAGAAGAGCAUAGCUAUCAUGGCUAGUAGCCAUCGAUAGCCUUAUCCUCCAUACAUUUAUCCUUGAAAACGCCAUCCAGUAAUCUGGAAGGCAGGCCAGAUGCCAACACGCCUGAUGACUGGCCAGCUGUGCCUUGUGCAGUCCAUUGAUGCUGGCAAAUCAUGCCACCCAUUCAGAAGCCACAUGCCUAUGCAGUGCUGGACAGAUUGCUCCUACCUUGCAUCUCUCUCAGAAACCAAAGCAUCUCAGAGUGAGAACAACGCUUCAAAAUGUUAAAAAAUGGCAUCUUCAUCUCUGUUUCACAGCACAUAAUGGGAAGAAUGGAGGAAGUGAAAAUACUAGUCAGCUGUGCAGCAGCAUUGUGUGACACAGAUUUCUAGGAUGAAUGAGGGAAAUAAAACUUUCUAGACUAGAUUCUCUAUAGAAACAUUAGUAACACAGGAAAGAAGCAAAGUAAGAAGAACACCAACAAAUGUACAAAAAUGUAAUUCUCCAUCUUUGGAGAUGGCAGGUGUUGCCACCACUCACCAUAUGCUCAGAGGCACAUGAAUUCUUCCAAGCUACACAGCAAGUGGAUUGGACUGUGAAAGACCAACGCAAAUUGUGUUUGCAUUUUGACCAAUUUGUAGGGCAGUCCAAUAUCUCAACGAGGAGGUCAGGUCUCCUGCUCUCCUGGUGCAUUCACUAUAGCUGCCCAAUUUCCCUGCUUUUUAAAGUUUGAUAGAAAUAUCUGUGGGCUAUAGGUAUGUUCUUAAACCACAAGGUUUUUUGCCUAUUAGUGAAUACAUAUAUGAUUUGAUUUGCUGUUUGUUUCUGUUUUUAAACACUCUAAUUAAAAAAUAGAAGUGAUAUUGUUAUAAUGAGAGGCUAAAGUUGGUCAUGGUCUGCUAUCUCAAGACAUACAGUCCAUUUCAGAAGAACUGGUGGUAUACCAAUGAGGUAAAAUUAUUUUUCAUGUGGGGCACUGCAAAGAGUACCAUAUGCCCCACAGCUGCUUAGCCUGUACUAGAAACUGGGCUUUUAGAGUUGCAUCUCCAGCUCUCUGGAAUCAAUUGCCAGCUGAAAUCAGACAGGCGCUUCGUGUGAUGUUGUUUAGGCAUCUACUGAAGACAUUUGUCAUGACCCCUGUAUCCAGCAGUGAUCUGGACACAGAGUCAGAGACUGCAGGGCCACCAGAUGGGGAGCCUGGUCAGACUCAGAGCUCAGAACUGACUGCUGAAGAUAGGGAGACCAUUGCAUGAGGCUGUUGGACAGGAAACCUUCCAGAUCACCAGGGCCUACAGGGUCAGAGCCUGGACCCUCACAGGCACCUUUCCCUGAGCCUGAAGAACCAGAUACCUCCCACCUCACAUCACUGGUCCAGCAGCACUGGGAACACACCAGGAGGGAGGCUAUGGAACGGAGGAGGAGUGCCCGUUUUCAGGCCAGAGGAAAGGCUCUGAAAUUCUCUCAGAAGAAUGGAGCCUGGAGGAGGUAAUCUGGAGACAGAGGCAUAAAAGGCCUCAGUCUGCUCCCAACCUUUGCUGGAACAAGUUGCUUACUUGGAGCCCUCCAGCGUCACCACUUUCUCUGUGGGAUCUCACAUCAGACCAGAACACAACACCAUUCACCAGUAGUUUAUGGAAUGAUCAGUUUUAUAUCUGAUGAAAUUGUUUCGUUGUUUUUGGAAUUUGUAUGGAUUGUUUUAGAGAUUGUUGAACUGAUUUUAUUAUUUUAAGAGCUUGGGU
Molecule: long non-coding RNA, 2756 nt
Organism: Rhineura floridana
Lineage: Eukaryota; Metazoa; Chordata; Lepidosauria; Squamata; Rhineuridae
Exons: 4
Source: RefSeq, a predicted model, not a curated record